This 72-nucleotide transfer RNA is filed under the name Chelonia mydas (Green sea turtle). It matches the Rfam family "tRNA". Rfam says of the family: Transfer RNA (tRNA) molecules are approximately 80 nucleotides in length. Their secondary structure includes four short double-helical elements and three loops (D, anti-codon, and T loops). The record is from Rfam by way of RNAcentral. Lineage: Eukaryota; Metazoa; Chordata; Testudines; Cheloniidae.
GGAAGGAUGGUCCAGUGGAUAGGGUGCUAGCCUUGAACUCUGGAGAACAAGGGUCAAUUCCCUGCUCUGCCA